Molecule: long non-coding RNA, 5252 nt
Organism: Peromyscus californicus insignis
Lineage: Eukaryota; Metazoa; Chordata; Mammalia; Rodentia; Cricetidae
Exons: 2
Source: RefSeq, a predicted model, not a curated record
CAAAAAAAAAAAAAAAAAAAAAAAAAUAAUCUGUCUCUGAUAAAGCUUAUCUCAGGUUAUGAGAAUUAAAAACAAGUUCCAAUCUCUCUGUCUCUCUCAUUAAUACGAACCAAUCUAAGCAGAGUACUAAACACUACCAUGGUCACUAAUCAUCUCAUGGCUGCUUCUUAACAUGUUCAAAAUUUUUCCCAAGCUCCAGAAACCAGCUUAAACCCAUCUGGACAGGUCAGAUCUACUUCAGGCUUUUUCUGUCUCACCAGCAUCCUGUCAGACACAAAAGCAGCCAGAGUGCCAAGCCAAGAGGGAUGGACGGCUCCAGGGCAGCAGAACAGCCCAUCAUCCCAGGAUGCCUGUCCACCUCAGAAGGUCCCCCUUCCCUAGCCCAUCCCCCCAAGAACCAACCGACGCCUACCAAGUCAGUUGUAAGCAGUCUUUCCGGGAGAAACGAUGCCCCUAUUCCUAUUCACUUGCUUUUUUAUAAUAAGCAAAAAGUCUGGAAUGUUAGAAUUCUGCCCUCACUCCUGCACAUGGGUAGCUCAGGGUCUUGCAUCUUACAUCAUCAGUGGGCUGUGACGAUUAUGUACCUGCCUUAAAAAGCCAGAUGCAGACCCCUACCCUCUCUGUUCCCUCUCUGCUCGCUGUUCCCUGCUCUGCUCCCUCCUCCCAGGCCUGGCUCUCCUCUCUUUCUCCCCCCUCGUCCCCUAAUAAAGCUCUGAAAACUAGCACUGGGUUCUGUCAUGACCGUGACCUUUCCAUGCGGUAACAAGACCACCACCAGCACUGUUCAUCCUAUAAGGAGCAGCAAAAAUUAACCAGUAGGGGCUGGACAAAUGGCUCAGUGGUUAAGUGCACUUAUUAUUCACUCAGAGGUGCCAGGGUUGGUCCAUAAUACCAACAUCAGUUCACUCAACCACCUGCCACUCUGGUUCCAGGGAAUUUGAUGCCCUCUUCUGGCCUCCAUGGGCACUGCAUGCAUGUGGCACACGCACAUACAUAUAAAUUAAAAGUAAGUAAUUAUUUAUGACAGCCUUCACUAUGUAGCUUAGGCUGGCUCUGAACUUGAUUGUCCUAUCUUAGCAUCCUGAACACUGAAAUUAAAGCUAUGUGUCACCACACCCUGCCCUGUGGUGUUUGUGGCUAUCAGCUAGGCUUCAGAAGCAAAGGAUCAGACUGAGUACCUUCAACAACAGAAAUCACUGUCUCAUGACUCUGGAGGACAGAAGUGUUAGAGGAUUUCCUGCAGUGUUCUGCAGCUGGUUUGAUUCUGGAGUGUUAGCACUUAACUUUAAUCUGCUUUUUGUGAUUUGCUACCUUUUGUCUCCCAUACCUUCUGUUUGAAGUGUGUAAAUCUUAUCUGAGAGUUUCCUAAAGGUUCAAAGCCUAUGCAAACUUGGUUGUGGGAGGAAUAGGAAAGCCAGCUGUCUCUGAACUGAAAAAUUGCAUUGGCAUUGUCUCUUCGGGGAGCUUAGAUAAGAGGUUUUGGUAUCUGGAAUUGACUUGCUAGAGCUGUGAAUUGCAUAAAAAUAAAAAGGCCCUUUGCAAAUCGAUAGUGGGUAGCUGCCAUGGGCUACAGGCUGAUCCCCCUGCAGUUGGGAAGCCUAAAAAAUCAUCCUUACAACAAGACAAGGAUGUCCACUCUCCCCAUAUUUAUUCAAUAUAGUACUAGAAGUUCUAGUUAGAGCAACAAGACAACAAAAGGAGAUCAAAGGGAUUCAAAUUGGAAAGGAAGAAGUCAAACUUUCACUAUUUGCAGAUGAUAUGGUAGUAUACAUAAGUGACCCCAAAAACCCUACCAGGGAACUCCUACAGCUGAUAAACUCCUUCAGUAAAGUGGCAGGAUACAAGAUCAACUCAAAAAAAAUCAAUAGCCCUCCUAUACACAAAUGAUAAAAGGGCUGAGAAAGAAGUCAGAGAUACAUCACCCUGUACAAUAGCCACAAAUAAUAUAAAAUACCUUGGGACAACACUAACUAAAAAAGUGAAGGACCUUUUUGAUAAAAACUUUAAAUCUGUAAAGAAAGAAAUUGAAGACGAUAUCAGAAAAUGGAAGGAUCUCCCAUGCUCAUGGAUAGGUAGGAUUAACAUAGUAAAAAUGGCAAUCUUACCAAAAGCAAUCUACAGAUUCAAUGCAAUCCCCAUCAAAAUCCCAACACAAUUCUUCACAGACUUGGAAAGAAAAAUACUCAACUUCAUAUGGAAAAACAAAAGACUCAGGAUAGCUAAAAGAAUCCUAUACGAUAAAGCAACCCUUGGAGGCAUCACCAUCCCUGACCUCAAACUCUACUAUAGAGCUAUAGUAAUAAAAACAGCUUGGUACUGGUAUAAAAACCAACAUACAGACCAAUGGAAUCGAAUUGAAGACCCUGACAUUAAUCCAUGCACAUAUGAACACCUGGUUUUCGACAAAGAAGCCAAAACUAUACAAUGGAAAAAAGAAAGUAUCUUCAACAAAUAGUGCUGGCAUAACUGGAUGUCAAUAUGUAAAAGAUUACAAAUAGAUCCAUAUCUGUCACCAUGCACAAAACUCAAGUCCAAGUGGAUCAAGGACCUCAACAUAAAUCCAAUUACACUAAACUUAAUAGAAAAGAAAGUAGGAAGUACUCUUGAACGCAUUGGCACCGGAGACCAUUUCCUAAAUAUAACACCAACAGCACAGACCCUGAGCACAAUUAAUAAAUGGGACCUCUUGAAAUUAAGAAGCUUUUGCAGGGUGGAAGACACGGUCAAUAAGACAGUCAACAGAAUGGGAAAAGACCUUCACCAACCCCACAUCUGACAGAGGAUUGAUCUCCACAGUAUAUAAAGAACUCAAGAAACUAGACAUCAAAAUACUAAACAAUCCAAUUAAAAAAUGGGCUAAAGAGCUAAACAGAGAAUUCACAAAACAAGAAUCACAAAUGGCUGAAAGACAUUUAAAGAAAUGCUCAACAUCCUUAAUCAUCAGAGAAAUGCAAAUCAAAAAGACUCUGAGAUACCACCUUACACCUGUCAGAAUGGCUACGAUCAAAAACACCAAUGACAGUCAGUGUUGGAGAGGAUGUGGAGCAAAGGGAACACUCCUCCACUGUUGGUGGGAAUGCAAGCUUGUACAACCACUGUGGAAAUCAAUAUGGCGGUUGCUCAGAAAAUUAGGAAUCGAUCUACCUCAAGACCCAGCCAUACCACUCUUGGGCAUAUACCCAAGGAAUGCUGAUUCAUACCAUAAAGAUACAUGCUCAACUAUGUUCAUAGCAGCACUAUUUGUAAUAGCCAGAACCUGGAAACAACCUAGAUGCCCGUCAACUAAAGAAUGGAUGAAGAAAAUGUGGUACAUAUACACAAUGAAGUACUACUCAGCAAAGAAAAAUAAUGAAAGCAUGAAAUUUGCAGGCAAAUGGAUGGAACUAGAAAAAAUCAUCCUGAGUGAGGUAACUCAAACCCAGAAAGACAAACAUGGUAUGUACUUACUCAUAAGUGGAUUCUAGAUAUAAAAUAAAGAACAAUCAGACUACAAAAAAAAAUCAUCCUUACAGUGCCUGGUGUCUUCUUUCCACAGACCUGAGUAAACCCCUACCUGAUACAACAGGAGGCUCAGAAUAAAAGUGACUAAAGCCCUUCCCACAUUCCUCACACUUAACAGAAUUGGGACACACUAUAUUGUGCCGACUGGGACAACUGGUGACAUUUAAAUGGGCUGUUUAGGUUGUAUAGUGUUGUGCAGCGACAUCGGACUUGAUUGAAUAUUACACUACCAGCUGCUUAAGGAAAACACAUUUAGUUUCUGAUGUAAGAGAUGAGACAUUUGAAAAGGUGUAUGUGCAGGUGUCAGCAUUUGAGUGGGCACAAAUUCACAUAUUUAGAGAGAACAGUGACUCGAUAAUUUAACAACUGGUGAGUCUAGGUUAAGGGUAUAAAACUAUAUAAUUUUUAUAGUUUUUCUAAAAGUUAAUGUACAUAUUUGAUUAAAAUCUCACUAGAUAACUAAGCCUAUACAUCUGUAUCUUUAAAAAUUAUUUAUCUAUAGAUCAAGCAUGCACAUGUGCGUGCAUGCGUGUCUGUGUGUGCACGUGUGCCUAAGUCCAGAAGCAUUGGAACCUCUAGAGCUGGAGUUACAAUUGGUUGUGAGCCACCAGAUGUGGGUACACGUAACAAAACUCUGGUUCUCUGAAAGAGGAGCACAUACUCUAAGUGCUGGGCUGUCUCUCCAGCCCCACAUCUGUAUUGUGUGUGUGUGUGUGUGUGUGUGUGUGUGUGUGUGUGUGUGUGUGUGGUAUAUAAUGUGUUUUGCAUACAUGAGCAGGUAUGUAUGCCCAUGUGCAUGUGUUUGGAGGCCGGAGGAUGAUUUAGGUAUCUUGCUCUGUCAUACUCCCUGUUGCCUAGAGACAUGGUCUCUCCUAGGCUGUCAGCAAGUCCCAACAAUCUUCCUUCCUCCACUUCCCACAGCACUGGGAUCACAGACCUCCACAGGGCCAUACCCAGCUUUUUACAUGGAUACUGGGGAUUCAACUCAGAUUCCCAUGUUUGUCCAGCAAGCUCUGUUACCCACUCAGCCAUCUUCUCCAGCCCCAUUUAUUUCUCUAAAAACAUACAGCUAACUUUCACAUUUUAUGGUUUUCCAGGUUAAUAUAUUCUGAGCAACUUUCAGCGGUUGUAGCUAAUUCUACCUCUUCUCACUUGAUGCUUGCAGAGGACCACUGGACUGCAAAGUAGAAAGUUCCUUGGCCAGGCAACCAAUUAUAAAACGAUGAUGCAAUGUGAACAACUUCUUCAAUACAGUUAUAGCUGACACCAAUCUACCUUUGAUGACCAGAGAUGCAUUGUGGGUACAGCCUCUUUCAUUGCAGCCCUCCAUACUGCAUGAAAAAAGCCACAGGAUAAGCCCUUGGCUACAGGAAAUUUUUAGUCAGCAAUUUUAUUUCCCACACCUUUACGCUUAAGUAAAAAUAAUGCCCACUGUUAAGUAUAGAGAGCUAAGUCAGCAUUUGGCAAGUAACGGGUCACCCGGUACCUUUCGGCACACAGUCCACUGAAAGAUGAUUGCUGACAUUCAUAGUCUUGCCAAGAGGGCCACUGCCUGUAUUUCUUCCUUACAAUGAGUUCUAGGUGUUACUCUGGCAUGUUAUGGUUUUAAAGGUGUUGCUGCAGGAUGUCUUCCUGUACGCUGUGAAUGUGUGUUGCUAUGACUGGUUAAUAAAGAAGCUGCUCUGGCCUAUGGCGUGCCAGGUUAUAGCCAGGCAGGAAAUCCGAGAGAGAGAGAGAGAGAGAGAGAGAGA